UACGUAGGGUGCAAGCGUUGUCCGGAUUUAUUGGGCGUAAAGAGCUCGUAGGCGGUUUGUCGCGUCGGAUGUGAAAACCCAGGGCUCAAUCCUGGGCCUGCAUUCGAUACGGGCAGACUAGAGUAUGGCAGGGGAGACUGGAAUUCCUGGUGUAGCGGUGAAAUGCGCAGAUAUCAGGAGGAACACCGGUGGCGAAGGCGGGUCUCUGGGCCGUAACUGACGCUGAGGAGCGAAAGCGUGGGGAGCGAACAGG
Molecule: ribosomal RNA, 253 nt
Filed under: uncultured bacterium
Lineage: Bacteria
Description: partial 16S ribosomal RNA
Rfam family: Bacterial small subunit ribosomal RNA
Source: RNAcentral